This 1525-nucleotide long non-coding RNA is filed under the name Mus musculus (house mouse). RNAcentral describes it as "long non-coding RNA chr8:120109440-120110965". Lineage: Eukaryota; Metazoa; Chordata; Mammalia; Rodentia; Muridae. The record is from RNAcentral.
ACCCGUGGGCAGAGGCUUCUGGGAGCAGCCAGCAUGGUGGCUUAGGUGCUGGGUGAGAUGGGUCCUUGGUGGAAUGGGUGCUUAGAAGGUUAGGUACUUAGGAGGGCAGGUGUUUGGUUGGACCAUGCAUGCUUGGGGCUAGAAAUGGCUGCUUACUGAAAGCUGAGCCUGUUCUUGUCACUCUUUCUGUCAUGCCCCACUCACUGACAUGUCCCUUAAGAGUGGACUGCAGUGCUCUCCUGCCCAGCCACCUGUAGAAUCCCUCCCCGCCUCCCCCCGAAACAUUUCAUUCCAAUCCCAAAAUUCUCUGCCUUUCAGCCCGUCAUCUCUGGUCACUUCCAUUCUUUCACUUUUUAGCCUCACAGAGGGUAGGGAGGUAUGUUGGAACCUUAGCCAGCUCACUGUCCUAGAUACCUGUUGUCUGCCCCUCUUCUGCAAGAGCACCCCUGUUUCCUGGAAAUCACCUUUCUCUGGCACCAGUCAGCACCAUGGGGCUGGCACACACCACUCUCUAGACUCAUCCAGUCUGGUUGUCCUGGUGAGCUGGCUUCAGGGACAGGCUCUAAGGAUGGCUCAUUUCCACCAAAUUAUGGGAUUUUGCUGGAAGAAUCAAAAGAGAAAACCCCUUUGGUCCACUGGGCUGCCAAGGUGAGACAAUAUAAGCCUGGAGCUGCUUGAGGCCAGUGUGUGAGAAGAACCUAAUCUGGGAGGGAAGUUGAUCUAGGCAGUGUCUUAGUUAGGAAUGGUUUCUAUUGCUGGGAUAAACACCAUGACCAAAAGCAACUGCAUUAGCAGCACAUCACUGAAGCCAGCCAGCAGGAACCUGGAAACAGGGACUGAAACAGAAACCCUGGUGGAGUGCUGGUUACUGGAGUGCUGGUUACUGGAGUGCUGGUUACUGGAGUGCUGGUUACUGGCUUGCUCCUCCUGGCUCACUCAGCCUACUGUUCUGGAGUUCCCAGAAGCACCCGCCCAGGGGCGUCACCUCCCACAAUAACCUGGGCCCUUGUGAGUUAAUCCAAAACUGCCGCACAGGUCAAUCUGGUGGGGAUGUUUUUUCAACGGAGAUUCCUACUUCCCAAAUGACUAGCAUGAGUCAGGUUGCCAUAAAACUAGCCAGCACAGUCAAGGCAGGAAGAGAUGGGUUUUAGUGGUAUCUUUUGUGCAGUUAGAGCCUGCUGGGCUUUUAAAUUAUGGGACCCCACAGAUGCCUCUUCAAAGGGUACCCCAUAGAGUCAAGUGUUUGAAUGCUUGGCCCACAGGGAGUGGGACUAUUAGGAGGUGUGGCCUUGUUGGAGUAGGUGUGGCCUUGUUGGAGGAAGAGCAUCUCUAUGGGGGUGGAUUUGAGGUUUCUGUGCUUAAGCUCUGCCCAGUAUGGAAUUCCAGUCUCCUCCUGGCUGCCUUCAGAUCAAGAUAUAGACAUCUUGGCAACUCCAGCACCAAGUCUGCUGCACACGGCCCUGCUUCCUACCACAACGAUGAUGGACUGAACCUCUGAAACUAAGUCAGUAAAAUGCUGUUCUUU